Molecule: long non-coding RNA, 189 nt
Organism: Sinocyclocheilus anshuiensis
Lineage: Eukaryota; Metazoa; Chordata; Actinopteri; Cypriniformes; Cyprinidae
Exons: 3
Source: RefSeq, a predicted model, not a curated record
CAUUCACACCUGUUCUUCAGACAGGACAGCGUCAAUUAAAACACACUGACACAGACUCAAAGUAAAAACCAUGAAGGUUCUUGUGGUGUUCGCACUUGCUGUAUUUACAGGUUGCCAGGCCAACCUCUUCUAUUCUGAUGAGCCCAAGCCACAGCUGGAGCAGCUGACCGAUGCUUUCUGGAGCUAUGU